This 1128-nucleotide ribosomal RNA is filed under the name Azotobacter vinelandii. Its description in RNAcentral is "bacterial SSU rRNA". It matches the Rfam family "Bacterial small subunit ribosomal RNA", at positions 21 to 1145 of the family's 1533-position model. The record is from RNAcentral. Lineage: Bacteria; Pseudomonadati; Pseudomonadota; Gammaproteobacteria; Pseudomonadales; Pseudomonadaceae.
GGCUCAGAUUGAACGCUGGCGAUGUACGUGCGUGUGCAAGUCGAGCGGCAGCGGGACCUCGCGGGUUGCCGGCGAGCGGCGGACGGGUGAGUAAUCGUGCAUCUGCCUGUUAGUGGGCGUGGAUAACGCGGGGAAACUCGCGCUAAUACCGCAUACGUCCUACGGGAGAAAGUGGGGGACCCUCGGGCCUCACGCUAACAGAUGAGCCUAGGUCGGAUUAGCUAGUUGGUGGGGUAAAGGCCCACCAAGGCGACGAUCCGUAACUGGUCUGAGAGGAUGAUCAGUCACACUGGAACUGAGACACGGUCCAGACUCCUACGGGAGGCAGCAGUGGGGAAUAUUGGACAAUGGGCGAAAGCCUGAUCCAGCCAUGCCGCGUGUGUGAAGAAGGUCUUCGGAUUGUAAAGCACUUUAAGUUGGGAGGAAGGGCGCUCGGUGAAUACCCAAGCGUCUUGACGUUACCGACAGAAUAAGCACCGGCUAACUUCGUGCCAGCAGCCGCGGUAAUACGAAGCGUGAAAGCGUUAAUCGGAAUUACUGGGCGUAAAGCGCGCGUAGGUGGUUCGGCAAGUUGGAUGUGAAAGCCCCGGGCUCAACCUGGGAACCGCAUCCAAAACUACUGGGCUAGAGUACGGUAGAGGGUGGUGGAAUUUCCUGUGUAGCGGUGAAAUGCGUAGAUAUAGGAAGGAACACCAGUGGCGAAGGCGACCACCUGGACCGAUACUGACACUGAGGUGCGAAAGCGUGGGGAGCAAACAGGAUUAGAUACCCUGGUAGUCCACGCCGUAAACGAUGUCGACGUGAGCCGUUGGGCUCCUUGAGAGCUUAGUGGCGCAGCUAGCAUUAAGUCGACCGCCUGGGGAGUACGGCGGCAAGGUUAAAACUCAAAUGAAUUGACGGGGGCCCGCACAAGCGGUGGAGCAUGUGGUUUAAUUAUUGCGUGCGCGAAGAACCUUACCUGGCCUUGACAUCCUGCGAACUUUCACAUUGAUGGGUGCCUUCGGGAGCGCAGAGUUAGGUACAGGUGCUGCAUGGCUGUCGUCAGCUCGUGUGAGCGUGUGGGUUAAGUCCCGUAACGAGCGUAGUCGUGAACUUGUCCUUAGUUACCAGCGAUUCGGUCCUCUAAGG